GAAAUGCGAUAAGUAGUGUGAAUUGCAGAAUUCAGUGAAUCAUCGAAUCUUUGAACGCACAUUGCGCCCCUCGGCAUUCCGUGGGGCAUGCCUGUUCGAGCGUCAUCUACACCCUCAAGCUCUGCUUGGUGUUGGGCGUCUGUCCCGCCUCCGCGCGCGGACUCACCCCAAAUGCAUUGGCAGCGGUUCCUUGCCCCCCUCUUUGCGCAGCACAUUGCCAUUCGAGGCGGCGGCGGCCCGCGUCCAACAAGCUCAACCCCCCCGUCUUUGACCUCGGAUCAGGUAGGGAUACCCGCUGAACUUAAGC
This 307-nucleotide unclassified non-coding RNA is filed under the name plant metagenome. Its description in RNAcentral is "partial contains 5.8S ribosomal RNA, internal transcribed spacer 2, and large subunit ribosomal RNA". The stretch from base 1 to 105 matches the Rfam family "5.8S ribosomal RNA", at positions 50 to 154 of the family's 154-position model. The record is from RNAcentral.